This 115-nucleotide ribosomal RNA is filed under the name Periophthalmus magnuspinnatus. The record is from RNAcentral. Lineage: Eukaryota; Metazoa; Chordata; Actinopteri; Gobiiformes; Gobiidae.
CGCUUUGACCUGAGUUUUAAGUAAUCCAAUCUCACCAGAUCCUGGAAGCUAAGCAAGUCUGGGCCUGGUUAGUACUGGGAUGGGAGACUGCUGAGAAUACCAGAUGCCACAGUGG